RNAcentral lists this ribosomal RNA (673 nucleotides) under uncultured bacterium. RNAcentral's name for it is "bacterial SSU rRNA". It matches the Rfam family "Bacterial small subunit ribosomal RNA", at positions 32 to 692 of the family's 1533-position model. The record is from RNAcentral.
AACGCUAGCUACAGGCUUAACACAUGCAAGUCGAGGGGAAACGACAUCGAAAGCUUGCUUUUGGUGGGCGUCGACUGGCGCACGGGUGAGUAACGCGUAUCCAACCUGCCCACCACUUGGGGAUAACCUUGCGAAAGUAAGACUAAUACCCAAUGAUAUCCCACGAAGGCAUCCGAAUGGGAUUAAAGAUUUAUCGGUGAUGGAUGGGGAUGCGUCUGAUUAGCUUGUUGGCGGGGUAACGGCCCACCAAGGCAACGAUCAGUAGGGGUUCUGAGAGGAAGGUCCCCCACAUUGGAACUGAGACACGGUCCAAACUCCUACGGGAGGCAGCAGUGAGGAAUAUUGGUCAAUGGGCGAGAGCCUGAACCAGCCAAGUAGCGUGCAGGACGACGGCCCUAUGGGUUGUAAACUGCUUUUAUAAGGGAAUAAAGUGAGUCUCGUGAGACUUUUUGCAUGUACCUUAUGAAUAAGGACCGGCUAAUUCCGUGCCAGCAGCCGCGGUAAUACGGAAGGUCCGGGCGUUAUCCGGAUUUAUUGGGUUUAAAGGGAGCGUAGGCCGGAGAUUAAGCGUGUCGUGAAAUGUAGGCGCUCAACGUCUGCACUGCAGCGCGAACUGGUUUCCUUGAGUACGCACAAAGUGGGCGGAAUUCGUGGUGUAGCGGUGAAAUGCAUA